AGCUCUCACAAUCCGUCAGUGACAUCUAGCAAUAUGUAGUGACAAUUCAGUAGAACCGAAAUAGAACCUCUAGGUGUAGUUAAUGUAUGAUAUAGUCCUUCUGUCGUGAGUCCCGACUAGAUGAUAGAUCAUGGAUAAUUCGUCAAACUUCAUCAUCAGUCAUAUGAUAGAUAUGAUCAGCUCAAGUCUAAUAGUGAUUUCAAAUAAAAUUUUUUUUCCAUUAAUCACACUGCUAUGGCCAUAGAUUUGUGAACUCAGCUUCUUAAAUCUUAUAGGACUACUCCUCUCUAUCAAGAUCGAUAGAUCCCAUAUAGAUACACACGUUGCUGGCAC
This 333-nucleotide long non-coding RNA is filed under the name Elaeis guineensis (African oil palm). RNAcentral describes it as "long non-coding RNA (EGUI_LNC066948)". The record is from RNAcentral. Lineage: Eukaryota; Viridiplantae; Streptophyta; Magnoliopsida; Arecales; Arecaceae.